CGUACACUCCUGCGGGAGGCAGCAGUGGGGAAUAUUGGACAAUGGGCGCAAGCCUGAUCCAGCCAUGCCGCGUGAGUGAUGAAGGCCCUAGGGUUGUAAAGCUCUUUCACCGGUGAAGAUAAUGACGGUAACCGGAGAAGAAGCCCCGGCUAACUUCGUGCCAGCAGCCGCGGUAAUACGAAGGGGGCUAGCGUUGUUCGGAUUUACUGGGCGUAAAGCGCACGUAGGCGGACUAUUAAGUCAGGGGUGAAAUCCCGGGGCUCAACCCCGGAACUGCCUUUGAUACUGGUAGUCUUGAGUUCGAGAGAGGUGAGUGGAAUUCCGAGUGUAGAGGUGAAAUUCGUAGAUAUUCGGAGGAACACCAGUGGCGAAGGCGGCUCACUGGCUCGAUACUGACGCUGAGGUGCGAAAGCGUGGGGAGCAAACAGGAUUAGAUACCCGUGUAGUCC
This 449-nucleotide ribosomal RNA is filed under the name uncultured organism. RNAcentral's name for it is "partial 16S ribosomal RNA". It matches the Rfam family "Bacterial small subunit ribosomal RNA", at positions 330 to 796 of the family's 1533-position model. The record is from RNAcentral.